RNAcentral lists this ribosomal RNA (401 nucleotides) under uncultured bacterium. RNAcentral's name for it is "bacterial SSU rRNA". It matches the Rfam family "Bacterial small subunit ribosomal RNA", at positions 356 to 774 of the family's 1533-position model. The record is from RNAcentral.
GGGGAAUAUUGGACAAUGGGGGCAACCCUGAUCCAGCCAUGCCGCGUGAGUGAUGAAGGCCUUAGGGUUGUAAAGCUCUUUCGCUAGGGAAGAUAAUGACGGUACCUAGAGAAGAAGCCCCGGCUAACUUCGUGCCAGCAGCCGCGGUAAUACGAAGGGGGCUAGCGUUGUUCGGAAUUACUGGGCGUAAAGCGCACGUAGGCGGACAUUUAAGUCAGGGGUGAAAUCCCAGGGCUCAACCCUGGAACUGCCUUUGAUACUGGGUCUCUUGAGUACGAGAGAGGUGAGUGGAAUUCCGAGCGUAGAGGUGAAAUUCGUAGAUAUUCGGAAGAACACCAGUGGCGAAGGCGGCUCACUGGCUCGUAACUGACGCUGAGGUGCGAAAGCGUGGGGAGCAAACA